RNAcentral lists this ribosomal RNA (301 nucleotides) under uncultured bacterium. RNAcentral describes it as "partial 16S ribosomal RNA". It matches the Rfam family "Bacterial small subunit ribosomal RNA", at positions 509 to 808 of the family's 1533-position model. The record is from RNAcentral.
CAGCAGCCGCGGUAAUACGUAGGUGGCAAGCGUUGUCCGGAAUUAUUGGGCGUAAAGGGCUCGCAGGCGGUUUCUUAAGUCUGAUGUGAAAGCCCCCGGCUCAACCGGGGAGGGUCAUUGGAAACUGGGAAGCUUGAGUGCAGAAGAGGAGAGGGAAUUCCACGUGUAGCGGUGAAAUGCGUAGAGAUGUGGAGGAACACCAGUGGCGAAGGCGACUCUCUGGUCUGUAACUGACGCUGAGGAGCGAAAGCGUGGGGAGCGAACAGGAUUAGAUACCCCCGUAGUCCCUGUCUCUUAUACA